Balaenoptera acutorostrata (minke whale) is the source of this 73-nucleotide non-coding RNA. The record is from the annotation of a RefSeq genome assembly. Lineage: Eukaryota; Metazoa; Chordata; Mammalia; Artiodactyla; Balaenopteridae.
UCUCUGGUGGUCCAGUGGUUAAGACUCUGCACUCUUAAUGCAGGGGGCCUGUGUUCAAUCCCUGGUCAGGGAA